GACGAACGCUGGCGGCGUGCUUAACACAUGCAAGUCGAACGGAAAGGCCUCUUUCGGGGGGUACUCGAGUGGCGAACGGGUGAGUAACACGUGAGUAACCUGCCCUUGACUUUGGGAUAACUUCAGGAAACUGGGGCUAAUACCGGAUAGGAGCUCCUGCUGCAUGGUGGGGGUUGGAAAGUUUCGGCGGUUGGGGAUGGACUCGCGGCUUAUCAGCUUGUUGGUGGGGUAGUGGCCUACCAAGGCUUUGACGGGUAGCCGGCCUGAGAGGGUGACCGGCCACAUUGGGACUGAGAUACGGCCCAGACUCCUACGGGAGGCAGCAGUGGGGAAUAUUGCACAAUGGGCGGAAGCCUGAUGCAGCAACGCCGCGUGCGGGAUGACGGCCUUCGGGUUGUAAACCGCUUUCGCCUGUGACGAAGCGUGAGUGACGGUAAUGGGUAAAGAAGCACCGGCUAACUACGUG
RNAcentral lists this ribosomal RNA (466 nucleotides) under uncultured bacterium. Its description in RNAcentral is "partial 16S ribosomal RNA". It matches the Rfam family "Bacterial small subunit ribosomal RNA", at positions 28 to 507 of the family's 1533-position model. The record is from RNAcentral.